Molecule: long non-coding RNA, 4010 nt
Organism: Triticum aestivum (bread wheat)
Lineage: Eukaryota; Viridiplantae; Streptophyta; Magnoliopsida; Poales; Poaceae
Exons: 6
Source: RefSeq, a predicted model, not a curated record
ACUAAUCACGCAGUAAGCAAAAGGACCCGCACGACUAAUCCUCCCCGUUCCUUCGUCCUGAACAAAACUGCCCGCACGAACCCACGACCUUCGCUACUCCUCCUCUGCUACCCACGCCUCCCGCAGAUCCCCCGCUCGGCCGCUCCCCGCAGAUCCUCUGCUGCCCCACGGACGCGACCGCGGACUGCCGCCGCCGAUGAUCCCAUCUGAUGGCGGCGCCGACCCAUCCCUGGUGCUGGAUGCGGUGACCUCCGGCAGAGGCGCGCCCGGCCACGCCUUCCCCAGCACAGUCUCGCCGGGCUGCCUCCGCUCCUCCGGCAGCGCCGCGCCCGUUCGCCGCAGCCCGCCGGCGAGGGCACAAUCGAUGCCGACCUGCACGCGCAAGGGGAGGCGGCAGGAGCAGUCGUGCAAGGGCAGGACCAGCCGUGCGGUCAAUCGAGCAAUCCUUUUGCAUCUUGGCCGCCAUGUCCCCCGCCGUCGACGACGCCCGCUGUGGCGAUCUCCGCCCUGGCGACCAGCUCUGCCUCGCCUGCCAAAUCAAAUCUACGAACUAAGGUUGAUUUCUAUGACUUCAGUUCGCUGGUGGUACUGGCAUAACGCUUAUGUUGCAGGCUUCUCCAGAAUGAUUCCUCAUAAGAGAUAUCUCAACCAGUCAUAAGUUAGCCUGAAGACAUAAGGUGCAGAUAUUCUUCCUUGGUAUAAGAGAUACUUUCAACUAAUCACACGUGCAAUGUUACAUUUGAGUAAGGGAUUACCAUGUUCUCUGAAUUUUCUACCCGACAGAUAUGUUCAACUAUAUUUAGAGUAUUCUGAUAAAGGGUUUACCCCCGCUUUAUAUUAUAAAGCAUCCGGAUAUUUAGAGUAUUAUACAUCUCUAAUCUGCAUAUUUGAGACCAACAUGAUAAUGUUCCAUACUUCUUAAGCCAUUUUGGUGCCACCUAUUGUACCAUCAUUUUUUGCUUCAGGUAUUGUCCUCAUUUCCAAACAAUUCCAUUGUCUUCGCUUCUCUACUCACAUGUGUUUUUUAGUCUUCCUCUCACUCUUUUGAGCUUCUACAGAACUGAUGUCUGACUGCUAUGUUUACCCUUCUGAAUAAUACCCUUAUCAAGUUUUCAGCUUUUAAUGUAAAACUGUAACCAAUUACCGAAAUUUUGGAGUUCUUUUUCACCUUUUCUUGUCCGGUUGUGGAUAAAAAAAACUUAUGCUGAAUCAUUGCGUCUCCAGACGAGCAGUGCAGAUUUGAGAGUUAGGUUAUUUGUCAAAAGUUUUCCGUUUUAUCCAUACAAUAGUAAAAUUAGUUUUACAUAAUUUGAAUGUGUGCUCGCAUGAGCUUGUAAACUUCUCUCGUGUGUCCACACAAGGGCGGAGGGAAGAUUCUUUCUGUGAAGAAACCUAUUUUGUAUGAAGUUGUAGUUGAUUUUGUCGGACUGGGAAGUGAUGGAUGCACCAAGUAGGUGGUCUUUAUUUCUGGGAUUAGAAUUUUCAAAAGGACUGUUUCUUCUCACCUUGAUCUUGUGAUCUAAUGAAAUUUAUUCCUGAUUUUUAUCAGGGACACAACAGUGAAGAUGUUUUUGAAUUUCGUGUUGUAGCUAAAUGGUGAAGUUUUCAUGAAUUCAUGUUAUGAAUUGGUUCUCACUUUUUUUAUCAUAACCUUUUAUUAUCUCAUGAUUUAUUGAAUUUUUUGUUUUUUCUAUUGAUAUUUCUGUUUGCAAAACGAUUAUUAGAUAUUGGAGAAUUAACGAGGUAUGGCUACUGCCAAGCAUGCUUUCAGAAGUACACGAUUCAAGAGAUUUUCUAUUUUGGCAGAAGUUGGUGUGCCUACUGACAAGUGUGCUCUGAAAAUUAGUCAAUUACUGCACCAGCUGGACUUAUAGAUCGGUUCACAAGGUUCUUUCUGGACAGUAGUAAUGGUUUUAAUACAUUUAAAACAUGUAUGGUUAUUUGAUUCAUGAACAAAACAAAUAUAUUCUCUUUUGAGCUUUGAGCAUUUCACAUAUGACCAUUGUACUGUUGCACUAUUACUACGACCUAUGUGAAAGGUAAAUAAACCUUUCAGCAACAUAUGUUGGUAUAAUUCUCUCCCAACUAGCAUUAUAUGCCAUAUAUAGUUUUUUUUUUACCGAAAUGUUAGGAGCCUCGUGUAUAAGGUAUGCAGAAAUUCUCACUUUGGGGAAGUGAUUAAUUCUUCAUGUGCAGUAACCUGGAGAGAUGGUGCUGGUGGAUUCUAGCCGCAAGUCGAAGACAUGCAGUUGCUUGCCGUCGAUGAAGCGACAUCAACAUGGGUAGCUGAUCCAGUCAUCUGUUAGUCUGUUCGUCUUUCUUCCUUGCACUUUGUUCUUCAGUCAUGUGUUGGGCAUCCUUCCCCAUGCUACUGACUCUAUGGUGUCGCUGGCCCAUGCUUCUGACUCUCCAGACAUAUACUCACUCGUUAGAAAUCCCAUGGCAAUUGCUUUCAUGUGAAUUUUGGUUAGUACUCCGUAUUUAUGAUGUUGCUGGCCUCAUUGCUCUGAAUAUACUACCACACUGCAUGAUAAAAUCAACAAUGACUUUUCUUAAUGCAUGUAAAUUAUCGCUUCUCUGUAAUGUUUGAUGUCAAUUUAUUCCAUGACAAUGGUGCAAACUAGGAUCUGACCGGACAAGACAGCCGCAUAUUUAGUUUAGGUGUUGCUGUUACUGCAGGCCCUUGUCCAGAUGGAGGACUUGGCUUCUUCAGUGAGGAUAAUUCAAUACUACACUUUGAUUCAAUAGAGUGCGAGCUUCAUUCGGGUUUAAGUGCGUUGCUGCUGGUCGCCUCUUGUGAUUGUGUACAGCUUGCUUCUGACAUAGCCAAGAUUAAAGGAGAGGGGAGUCAUUGCUGAUGGCUUGGAACUUUUUGGUGCAUCAUGCUAUGCGACUAAGGUCACCCUGACAGACACUUGGUGAGAUGUUUGAAGCUGCUCAUAGUAUCAUGACCUAGCUUGGAGACUGUGCCAAGGCUGAAGUUUUCUUUCUUGGGCAACUAAGGCAGAAGAACCUGGUGAAAUUGGUUGGGUAGUGCUACGAGCAUGAACACCGGAUGUUGGUGUACAAAUUCAUGAGCGUUGGGAGCCUUGAGACGCACCUCUUCAAAAGUGAGUUCUUCACUGCUUUCUGUCAAUUGAUCAUUCCAAGUAUUAGUAUGUUUGGUGGUUCCUGAGACCAGCAAGAUAAAGAAAAAUGUUACUCCCUCCAAUACAAAAUAAGUGUCGUGGUUUUAAUUAAAAUUUGAACUAAAACCAUGACACUUACUAUGGAUUUGUAAGAGUAAUUCAGAAUUCUGAGCACGUACGAGUGCCAUCUGGUCCAUUGAUGAUGAACUGUUCUUGUCCCCUGAACUUUCUUUUCCAUAAGUCACAAGUCAAGAGGAUAGCUGAGCUCUCUCUCCCUUCCAAAGGGACUACACUUUCUCUUUUUAAAAUCAGAUGAAUGUAAAUAUUCGAUAUUUACUAAAAAGGGAUACUGGAUAUUUUGGAUUGAAAAUUUACUUGUCCGACCAGCUUCUUGGUACUUGUAAGUUAGUACAACUCUUGGUCAAUGUGGAUGAGGAAACUGACCUGAAACAUCCUAUUUCCUUCACGUAUAAAUGGCUCCCUCCUGCGGAUGAUAAGGAUGAAGAUCGCCGUCAGCCCAAGGGCCUUAACUUUCUCCAUGAUGCCAACCUGCCGGUGAUCUACAAGCAGGCCUUCAACAUCUACUGGACUAGGGUCAGUUUGAGCCUUCACGAGCUCGACAUCGGAGCCAGCACUCUACAUGCUUAUCGACGCGGUGGCCAUCGAGGUCAAACUUGUCCGGAAAUACUUGUCGGAGUAAUGGAUGUAUCUAUACGCAUUUUAGUUUUAGACACAUCCAUUUUUAUGCAUUUCUUCGACAUGUACUGUGAUUUGUGAAGACGUGCGUUGCACGUACACGCUAACUAGUAAUUUAGAAUUAGAAAAAGUUAAAUUACAAUUCAUAAAAUUAUUUUAGGUAUACAGCAUUUCAAUAAUUAUAUG